This 75-nucleotide small nucleolar RNA is filed under the name Zancudomyces culisetae. Lineage: Eukaryota; Fungi; Kickxellomycota; Harpellomycetes; Harpellales; Legeriomycetaceae. The record is from RNAcentral.
GCGAUAUGAUGUCAGAAUUUCUUCACCCGAAUUUAAUGUGGAACAUUUUUCUUGAGCUUUUUAACCCUGAUCGCA